UGAUAAAAUAAGAACUGCAACAUAUGUCACUCCAUUGCCCACCUGGAUUGAUUCAGAUGAUCUGGUUGGCUAGAUUGAUGUUCCCUUUCUCUUUCCAUAUUCCAUGUGCAUUGCUCCCAAAGUUGCAUGCUUAGCAAAAGAUGAUAACCAUUUCAUGUAGAAAUGUAGCACUGUACUCUUAGUCAACAUUGUCAUUAAAUCAAAUGCAAUGGGCAAUGACAUU
Unclassified non-coding RNA from Notechis scutatus (mainland tiger snake), 223 nucleotides. Its record names the gene 7SK. It matches the Rfam family "7SK RNA". From Rfam's summary of the family: 7SK was discovered as an abundant small nuclear RNA in the mid-70s but a possible function has only recently been suggested. Two independent studies have found that 7SK RNA binds the CDK9/cyclin T complex (known as elongation factor P-TEFb). Lineage: Eukaryota; Metazoa; Chordata; Lepidosauria; Squamata; Elapidae. The record is from Ensembl.